This 468-nucleotide ribosomal RNA is filed under the name uncultured bacterium. RNAcentral's name for it is "partial 16S ribosomal RNA". It matches the Rfam family "Bacterial small subunit ribosomal RNA", at positions 28 to 507 of the family's 1533-position model. The record is from RNAcentral.
GACGAACGCUGGCGGCGUGCUUAACACAUGCAAGUCGAACGGAAAGGCCCUGCUUUUUUGGGGUGCUCGGGUGGCGAACGGGUGAGUAACACGAGAGUAACCUGACCUUCUCUUUGGGAUAGGUUAACGAAACUGAAGCUAAGCUCAUACAGGAUCUCCUGCUGCAGUGUGGGGGUUGGAAAGUUGCGGCGUUUGGGGAUGGACUAGCGGGUUAUGAGCUUGUUGGUGGGGUAGUUGCUGACCAAGGCUUGGAAGGGUCGGCGGCCUGAGAGGGUGAGCGGCGACAUUGGGACUGAGAGACGGCCCAGACGGGGACAGGAGGCAGCAGUGGGGAAUAUUGCACAAUGGGCGGGAGCCGGAUGAAGCAGCGCCGCGUGCGGGAUGACCGUCUUCGGGUUGUAAACCGCUUUCGCCUGUGACGAAGCGUGUUUGACGGUAACGGGAAAAGAAGCACCGGCUAACUACGUG